Molecule: long non-coding RNA, 660 nt
Organism: Clupea harengus (Atlantic herring)
Lineage: Eukaryota; Metazoa; Chordata; Actinopteri; Clupeiformes; Clupeidae
Source: Ensembl
GAAGAAGUGGGAGAAUGGGAGGGGACCAAAGGAGGGGACAACUGCGUGGGCUGGCCGGUGUUCGGUUUCACCACUGAACACGUGACCGCAAUGGCUGCUACUUUCCUCUGAGCAGCGCAUCAUUCUGCUGCCACUCCGCGCGAAAACGCAUCAGCUGUCUCGCGUUGCCGGCUGCCAGCACUGGGCGAUUCUGCUCGCGAAAAGAAGCGCCGUGUUCCUCGUUCUCCCUCCGCUCUCAUCCGGACGACACUCGACCUUGAAGAAGGAGAUCUCCGUGAUCAAAAUAGCUCCGGGUUGAACUUCCACCAACCAACACGUCGGUAGGAGGAGUCAACAGAAGGCCGUGUGACCUGCAUAAGCUGGCCAGUGCAAACAGUGGGAAAUAAGCUCUGACAAGAUCCGCCGGGGAAAACAUCGACACACUCUCACUGGAGAAGAACCGUCGCCGUGACUCACAGUGACAGGGUGAAGCCGGGAGCACCAUGUGACCUCUGAGGCCCCACCCACUGUUGCUCACUCGUCCUCAGUCACUUCCUGCCUGGCCUCUCCCCCCCGGUGGCGUAAGAGCACGCCGUGUCCACUAAACUCAGUGCUCUCCUCCACCAUCUGGACAGAGACGCACAGAGGGAGGAACUCUCAGACACGGGGUUGUCAAGGAGG